CACAUGCAAGUCGAGGGGAAACGACAUCGAAAGCUUGCUUUUGAUGGGCGUCGACCGGCGCACGGGUGAGUAACGCGUAUCCAACCUGCCCACCACUUGGGGAUAACCUUGCGAAAGUAAGACUAAUACCCAAUGAUAUCUCUAGAAGACAUCUGAAAGAGAUUAAAGAUUUACCGGUGAUGGAUGGGGAUGCGUCUGAUUAGCUUGUUGGCGGGGUAACGGCCCACCAAGGCAACGAUCAGUAGGGGUUCUGAGAGGAAGGUCCCCCACAUUGGAACUGAGACACGGUCCAAACUCCUACGGGAGGCAGCAGUGAGGAAUAUUGGUCAAUGGACGAGAGUCUGAACCAGCCAAGUAGCGUGCAGGAUGACGGCCCUAUGGGUUGUAAACUGCUUUUAUAAGGGAAUAAAGUGAGUCUCGUGAGACUUUUUGCAUGUACCUUAUGAAUAAGGACCGGCUAAUUCCGUGCCAGCAGCCGCGGUAAUACGGAAGGUCCGGGCGUUAUCCGGAUUUAUUGGGUUUAAAGGGAGCGUAGGCCGGAGAUUAAGCGUGUUGUGAAAUGUAGAUGCUCAACAUCUGCACUGCAGCGCGAACUGGUUUCCUUGAGUACGCACAAAGUGGGCGGAAUUCGUGGUGUAGCGGUGAAAUGCUUAGAUAUCACGAAGAACUCCGAUUGCGAGGGCAGCUCACUGGAGCGCAACUGACGCUGAAGCUCGAAA
This 719-nucleotide ribosomal RNA is filed under the name uncultured bacterium. Its description in RNAcentral is "bacterial SSU rRNA". It matches the Rfam family "Bacterial small subunit ribosomal RNA", at positions 52 to 758 of the family's 1533-position model. The record is from RNAcentral.